This 75-nucleotide small nucleolar RNA is filed under the name Salvator merianae (Argentine black and white tegu). Its description in RNAcentral is "Small nucleolar RNA SNORD24 (ENSSMRG00000007802.1)". It matches the Rfam family "Small nucleolar RNA SNORD24". Rfam says of the family: U24 is a member of the C/D class of snoRNA which contain the C (UGAUGA) and D (CUGA) box motifs. C/D box snoRNAs have been shown to act as methylation guides for a number of RNA targets. Lineage: Eukaryota; Metazoa; Chordata; Lepidosauria; Squamata; Teiidae. The record is from Rfam by way of RNAcentral.
AGCAAAUGAUGUGAACGAAUAUUUGCUAUCUGACUUCUGGUGCUGACAAGCAUAUCCACCAAGAUCGCUGAUGCU